CCUCAGACUGUGAAGAAAUUACUAAGAAAGACCAGCUAUUACUGAAUAUUCAUGCCCGCAGGUUAACCUUCACAGUACUUCUUUCAGUUACAAAGUAGCAGCAGCACUCACAAAAUAAAACGUCCAUUCUAAAAUACGUUCAUCUUUAACUUCUAUACUGCUUUAAAGAGCUUCUGCUUUGCUGUGGUGCAAAUGAAGAUAAAUCAUUAAUUUAAAUAUUGGACUCUUGGACUGGAAGAUUAUAUUUCUUAUUAAAUCCUCAGAAUAUUUUUCACCAGUCUGAAGAUUUGUUUUCGGAAAAGAAAUCUGAAAUUUUACCAUUAGACUGAAAACAGAAGUCUACAGCAAAGGUGUACCUGCAUGUGAACCCAAAGCCUCAUGUAAGAAUUGCACUCUUAACCUAGCAAGUUAUACUCUGGAAAGACUAUGAUGUGAACACAGCAGAACCUGAAGAUAAGCUGGGAAUGCGUUUUUCAUUUUUGCCCAAGACAUACUUCCUGAGAAAAUCCUGCCUCCAGUCCUUUUACAUAAUGAGUCAUGAAAAAAUAAAGCAUCAUAUUGUAACUCAAUGGUCAAUCUUUGCAGGCUCCCUGACAAGUUAUAUUAUCAGGCAUCUGAAAAUCUCACUGGGGGAUGC
This is a long non-coding RNA of Cuculus canorus (common cuckoo), 637 nucleotides long. RefSeq lists it as uncharacterized. The record is from RefSeq and is a predicted model, not a curated record. The transcript has 3 exons. NCBI's taxonomy places the organism in Eukaryota, Metazoa, Chordata, Aves, Cuculiformes, Cuculidae.